This 99-nucleotide ribosomal RNA is filed under the name Castor canadensis (American beaver). Lineage: Eukaryota; Metazoa; Chordata; Mammalia; Rodentia; Castoridae. The record is from RNAcentral.
GUCUAUGAUCAUAUGACCCUGAAUGUGUUUAAUCUCUUCUGAUCUCGAAAGCUAAGCAGAGUCUGCCUGGUUAGUUCUUGAAUGGGAGAUACGUAGUCA